This 66-nucleotide transfer RNA is filed under the name Marmota monax (woodchuck). RNAcentral describes it as "tRNA.Ala". The record is from RNAcentral. Lineage: Eukaryota; Metazoa; Chordata; Mammalia; Rodentia; Sciuridae.
GGUUGUGGCUUAGUGGUAGAGCGCCUGCCUAGCAUGCAUAAGGCACUGGGUUCAUCCCCGGCACCA